This 460-nucleotide ribosomal RNA is filed under the name uncultured bacterium. RNAcentral describes it as "partial 16S ribosomal RNA". It matches the Rfam family "Bacterial small subunit ribosomal RNA", at positions 338 to 795 of the family's 1533-position model. The record is from RNAcentral.
CCUACGGGAGGCAGCAGUGAGGAAUAUUGGUCAAUGGCCGAAAGUCUGAACCAGCCAAGUCGCGUGAAGGACGAAGGUGCCAUGCGUUGUAAACUUCUUUUGUAAAGGGAUAAAACGAGGCACGUGUGCCUGUUUGCGGGUACUUUAUGAAUAAGGAUCGGCUAACUCCGUGCCAGCAGCCGCGGUAAUACGGAGGAUGCGAGCGUUAUCCGGAUUUAUUGGGUUUAAAGGGGGCGUAGGGGGGUUGGUAAGUCAGGUGUGAAAGUUUGCGGCUCAACCGUAAACUGGCAAUUGAGACUGGCAGUCUUGAGUACAGGUGAGGUAGGCGGAAUGCGUGGUGUAGCGGUGAAAUGCUUAGAUAUCGCGAAGAACCCCGAUUGCGAAGGCAGCAUACUAACCGGGGACUGACAUUGAGGCACGAAAGUGUGGGUAUCAAACAGGAUUAGAUACCCCUGUAGUC